This 491-nucleotide ribosomal RNA is filed under the name uncultured bacterium. RNAcentral describes it as "partial 16S ribosomal RNA". It matches the Rfam family "Bacterial small subunit ribosomal RNA", at positions 29 to 506 of the family's 1533-position model. The record is from RNAcentral.
AGUGAACGCUGGCGGUAGGCCUAACACAUGCAAGUCGAACGGCAGCACAGUAAGAGCUUGCUCUUACGGGUGGCGAGUGGCGGACGGGUGAGGAAUACAUCGGAAUCUACUUUUUCGUGGGGGAUAACGUAGGGAAACUUACGCUAAUACCGCAUAUGACCUACGGGUGAAAGCAGGGGAUCUUCGGACCUUGCGCGAUUGAAUGAGCCGAUGUCGGAUUUGCUGGUUGGCGGGGUAAAGGCCCACCAAGGCGACGGUCCGUAGCUGGGCUGAGAGGAUGAUCAGCCACACUGGAAGUGAGCCACGGUCCAGAGUCGUACGGGAGGCAGCAGUGGGGAAUAUUGGACAAAGGGCGGAAGCCUGAUCCAGCCAUACCGCGUGGGUGAAGAAGGCCUUCGGGUUGUAAAGCCCUUUUGUUGGGAAAGAAAAGCAGCAGGUUAAUACCCCGCUGUUCUGACGGUACCCAAAGAAUAAGCACCGGCUAACUUCGU